GGAUUAAAUAGUUGACUAUGUCAGCUAGCACUAGACAUGAGGUUCAGGUUCAAUUUUGGGGAUGAAUAGGAUUUGAUCUAUGAUCCAAAGAGUCUAUGAGAGAUUGAAUUUAAGUGUUAAUUAAUUUUAGAUUAGAUCUAAUUUAAUUAGACUUAAUUGGGUUAAAAAUUCAACUUAGAUUUGGAUCUAAAUCCUAAACAAUUUGGGAUUGACAGCCUAAUCAAAAUUGGU
RNAcentral lists this long non-coding RNA (231 nucleotides) under Elaeis guineensis (African oil palm). Its description in RNAcentral is "long non-coding RNA (EGUI_LNC053881)". The record is from RNAcentral. Lineage: Eukaryota; Viridiplantae; Streptophyta; Magnoliopsida; Arecales; Arecaceae.